CUAUAAUAAGGGACGACUGAGGUCGGAUGAGGCACCUUCGUCCCUUGUUCGCAAUGUUUUCUGCUCACACUACUCCUGACAUCAGGCCUUGCCAGAAGAAUGGUCCACCAGCACACAACAUUCAUGAUUUAAGCGAUGUAGCGUGAACACAACUUCCUGGAUUCCCACUCAGCAAGGCGAAGGACAGCACUCCAACUCCCUGCCAAGACACCUUAUCUGUGCCUGGCAGCCUGCAG
Long non-coding RNA from Xiphias gladius (swordfish), 236 nucleotides. RefSeq lists it as uncharacterized. The transcript has 3 exons. Lineage: Eukaryota; Metazoa; Chordata; Actinopteri; Istiophoriformes; Xiphiidae. The record is from RefSeq and is a predicted model, not a curated record.